This 83-nucleotide transfer RNA is filed under the name marine bacterium AO1-C. It matches the Rfam family "tRNA". Rfam says of the family: Transfer RNA (tRNA) molecules are approximately 80 nucleotides in length. Their secondary structure includes four short double-helical elements and three loops (D, anti-codon, and T loops). Lineage: Bacteria; Pseudomonadati; Bacteroidota; Cytophagia; Cytophagales; Cytophagaceae. The record is from Rfam by way of RNAcentral.
GCCGAUGUGGCGAAAAUGGUUUACGCAGCAGAUUCAAAACCUGUGGUCCAAAGGACGUGGGGGUUCGAGUCCCUCCAUCGGUA